This 353-nucleotide ribosomal RNA is filed under the name Streptococcus danieliae. RNAcentral's name for it is "partial 23S ribosomal RNA". It matches the Rfam family "Bacterial large subunit ribosomal RNA", at positions 1 to 370 of the family's 2925-position model. The record is from RNAcentral. Lineage: Bacteria; Bacillati; Bacillota; Bacilli; Lactobacillales; Streptococcaceae.
GAUUAAGUAGAAAAGAGCGCACGGAGGAUGCCUUGGCACUAGGAGCCGAAGAAGGACGUGACAAACGACGAAACGCUACGGGGAGAAGUAAGUAAUCAAUGAUCCGUAGAUAUCCGAAUGGGGGAACCCACCACAAGUAAAGAUGUGGUACUCGAAAGAGGGGUAACGCAGAGAACUGAAACAUCUAAGUACCUGCAGGAAGAGAAAGAAAAAUCGAUUUCCUUAGUAGCGGCGAGCGAAAAGGAAGGAGCCCAAACCGUAAGGCUUGCUUUACGGGGUUGUAGGACUAUCAAUAAAUCGUAUCAUAAUUCAUAGUAGAAUCGCAUGGGAAGGCGAACCAAAGAAGGUAAGAG